CGCGGAGACGCCUCCUCUGCAGGCCAGGAGGGAGUCGCGCGGGAACAACUGUCAACACCUUGUUCUACCAGUCUUAUCGCGCUCGAGUUGCCUCCGCACACCCGAGGGCGGCUUCGGGAUUCGAGCCCACCGCCGCCCGCUCCACGCCUGUGACCUACUGAGGCGUGGUCUGGACCGGUCUCACAGGGCCCUGCCUAAUCUGAGGAUACUGCACAAUAGAGCUCACUGGUGCGAGGAACUCUCCCUGCCCAACCCUGGUGAUGAAAAGAAUAAAAUGCCAAUCUCCAGAGGAAAGAAAGCAACGAUAGAGAAACGAGGAAUGUAGGAAAGCAGAAAGAUCAUAAUCAAACCCCUGCUAACCAUGAAAGCACACGAGAAAGUUUUCUCAGUUUUGAAUGAUAUUCACAUUGGAAACAAAUAGGAUUAUACACAUUCUUAUCUGACUAGCUAUAACUCCUAUCAACCACUCUCAAAAAAAGAAAAAAUCAAAAUGCAACUUGAUGAGAGUGAAGAUAUUAUGGGACAACAAAUCUCCCCAACCCCAUAUGAAGAUACAGCAAGAAGAGACCAUCCACAAACCAUGGAAUCUACCAAACUUGAUCUUGGAAUCCCCUGACUCCAG
This is a long non-coding RNA of Hyaena hyaena (striped hyena), 622 nucleotides long. RefSeq lists it as uncharacterized. The transcript is spliced from 4 exons. The record is from RefSeq and is a predicted model, not a curated record. Lineage: Eukaryota; Metazoa; Chordata; Mammalia; Carnivora; Hyaenidae.